RNAcentral lists this ribosomal RNA (498 nucleotides) under uncultured bacterium. RNAcentral's name for it is "partial 16S ribosomal RNA". It matches the Rfam family "Bacterial small subunit ribosomal RNA", at positions 28 to 507 of the family's 1533-position model. The record is from RNAcentral.
GACGAACGCUGGCGGCGUGCCUAAUACAUGCAAGUCGAACGAGAGCAACCGGUGCUUGCACUGGUCAAUCUAGUGGCGAACGGGUGAGUAACACGUGGGUAACCUGCCCAUCAGAGGGGGAUAACAUCCGGAAACGGAUGCUAAAACCGCAUAGGUCUUCGACCCGCUGGGUUUGAAGAGGAAAAAAGCCGCAACCUUCUGCUGUUGGUUGACCCCGCGGUGCAUUAGCUAGUUGGUGAGGUAACGGCUCACCAAGGCCGUGAUGCAUAGCCGACCUGAGAGGGUGAUCGGCCACAUUGGGACUGAGACACGGCCCAAACUCCUACGGGAGGCAGCAGUAGGGAAUCUUCCGCAAUGGACGCAAGUCUGACGGAGCAACGCCGCGUGAGUGAAGAAGGUUUUCGGAUCGUAAAACUCUGUUGUUAGAGAAGAACAAGUGCUAGAGUAACUGUUAGCGCCUUGACGGUAUCUAACCAGAAAGCCACGGCUAACUACGUG